RNAcentral lists this unclassified non-coding RNA (384 nucleotides) under uncultured Phycisphaeraceae bacterium. Its description in RNAcentral is "contains 16S-23S intergenic spacer region". The record is from RNAcentral. Lineage: Bacteria; Pseudomonadati; Planctomycetota; Phycisphaerae; Phycisphaerales; Phycisphaeraceae.
UCCGGUUUGACACCGGCAGUCUCGCUAGAGUUCCCGGCAUUACCCGCUGGCAACUAGCAACAGGGGUUGCGCUCGUUGAGGGACUUAACCCGACACUUCACAGCACGAGCUGACGACAGCCAUGCAGCACCUGUGCACGUUCCACCCGAGGGCGUCAUCCCACUUUCAUGGAACUAAUCCGUGCAUGUCAAGCCCAGGAUAAGGUUCUUCGCGUUGCUUCGAAUUAAGCAACAUGCUCCACCGCUUGUGUGAGCCCCCGUCAAUUCCUUUGAGUUUUAGCCUUGCGACCGUACUCCCCAGGCGGCGCACUUAAUGUUUUUACGGCGACCGAGACCGCGUCAGAGCGGCCCCGAUCUAGUGCGCAUCGUUUACGGCGUGGACUAC